Molecule: ribosomal RNA, 490 nt
Filed under: uncultured bacterium
Lineage: Bacteria
Description: partial 16S ribosomal RNA
Rfam family: Bacterial small subunit ribosomal RNA
Source: RNAcentral
AGUGAACGCUGGCGGCAGGCCUAACACAUGCAAGUCGAACGGCAGCACAAGAGAGCUUGCUCUCUGGGUGGCGAGUGGCGGACGGGUGAGGAAUGCAUCGGAAUCUGCCCAUUUGUGGGGGAUAACCUCGGGAAACCGGGACUAAUACCGCAUACGACCUACGGGUGAAAGCAGGGGAUCUUCGGACCUUGCGCAGAUGGAUAAGCCGAUGCCGGAUUAGCUAGUUGGAGGGGUAAAGGCCCACCAAGGCGACGAUCCGUAGCUGGUCUGAGAGGAUGAUCAGCCACACUGGGACUGAGACACGGCCCAGACUCCUACGGGAGGCAGCAGUGGGGAAUAUUGGACAAUGGGCGCAAGCCUGAUCCAGCCAUGCCGCGUGUGUGAAGAAGGCCUUCGGGUUGUAAAGCACUUUUGUUGGGAAAGAAAAGCAGCCGGCUAAUACCCGGUUGUCAUGACGGUACCCAAAGAAUAAGCACCGGCUAACUUCGUG